GUCAUUAUCAACCAUCAAGCCUGGCUUGUCGUUGGACUCUGGUCGUUCAAAAAAGACCGGUCCGAAAGAUAAUGGACGGGACCUGUCGGCCCUAGAUGCAACGAGCUUCACAGCACGCAUCGAAAGGUCGUUGGCCCCGCCUUUAAACCCCAUUUUCUCAGGUUGACCUCGGAUCAGGUAGGAAUACCCGCUGAACUUAA
Molecule: unclassified non-coding RNA, 200 nt
Filed under: soil metagenome
Description: partial contains internal transcribed spacer 2 and large subunit ribosomal RNA
Source: RNAcentral